GAGAGAAAAUAGAAUAAAAUAAAACAAAAUGAAACAAAAAGCUGACUCGGCACCAAUAAUUCGAAAGUUUAAACUUUUUAAUACUGCACAAAACUUAAGAACAUUUAAUACUUAUCUUGCAACUCAGAUAAUACGCUGCAAAUUCAUCCAGUAAGAACAACGGUUUGAUGUGGUUUGUCAUCAUCGUAACCGUCAAUGGCAACCGUUAUCGUGCUAUGAUAACCGACUAUUUGAUGCCUGAAAAUUAACCUAGUGAUCUCGACGAAAUUUGGUUUCAACAAGACGGCACCACUUCCCAUCAUCACAUUAAUCUAUGGAUUU
This is a long non-coding RNA of Bactrocera oleae (olive fruit fly), 321 nucleotides long. RefSeq lists it as uncharacterized. Lineage: Eukaryota; Metazoa; Arthropoda; Insecta; Diptera; Tephritidae. The record is from RefSeq and is a predicted model, not a curated record.